AGGACGAACGCUGGCGGCGUGCUUAACACAUGCAAGUGGAGCGACGAACCAGGCUUCGGCCUGGGGCAAAGCCGCGAACGGGUGAGUAACACGUGGGUUACCUGCCCCGAUGACCGGGACAACCCGAGGAAACUCGAGCUAAUACCGGAUGUGCCCCUUGGGGGAAAGGAGCUUCGGCCUCCGCA
This 185-nucleotide ribosomal RNA is filed under the name uncultured soil bacterium. RNAcentral's name for it is "partial 16S ribosomal RNA". It matches the Rfam family "Bacterial small subunit ribosomal RNA", at positions 26 to 219 of the family's 1533-position model. The record is from RNAcentral.